RNAcentral lists this non-coding RNA (23 nucleotides) under Arabidopsis thaliana (thale cress). Lineage: Eukaryota; Viridiplantae; Streptophyta; Magnoliopsida; Brassicales; Brassicaceae. The record is from RNAcentral.
UCAUGCUUUUUCGUCCCAAAUUU